This 313-nucleotide ribosomal RNA is filed under the name Spirochaetia bacterium. RNAcentral describes it as "partial 23S ribosomal RNA". It matches the Rfam family "Bacterial large subunit ribosomal RNA", at positions 2616 to 2925 of the family's 2925-position model. The record is from RNAcentral. Lineage: Bacteria; Pseudomonadati; Spirochaetota; Spirochaetia.
ACGUCGUGAGACAGUUCGGUCUCUAUCUGGUGUGGGCGUCCGAUGCUUGAAGAGGAGAUCUUCUUAGUACGAGAGGACCAGGAGAUACAGACCUCUGGUGUUCCAGUUAUCCUGCCAAGGGUAGUUGCUGGGUAGCCAAGUUUGGAAAGGAUAAGCGCUGAAGGCAUAUAAGCGCGAAGCCAACCUCAAGAUAAGGCAUCGUGUUGUAGCAAUACAAUAUAGGCUCCUUGUAGACUACAAGGUUGAUAGGCUGCAUGUGUAAGAUCCGUAAGGAUUUCAGCUAAGCAGUACUAAUAAGCCAAAAGUUUGAUCU